AAAUUUUGAUGAGGAUAUUGUUGUAAUAAACUCUUAAAUCUAUCCCAUGUUUCAAAUAUUGGUUCUCUAUCCAUCUGAACAAAGCUUUGGAUGCAAUUUUUCAUGU
This is a small nucleolar RNA of Zingiber officinale, 106 nucleotides long. The record is from RefSeq and is a predicted model, not a curated record. Lineage: Eukaryota; Viridiplantae; Streptophyta; Magnoliopsida; Zingiberales; Zingiberaceae.